UACGGAGGGUGCAAGCGUUAUCCGGAUUUACUGGGGUUAAAGGGUGCGUAGGUGGGCCUGUAAGUCAGUGGUGAAAUCUUCAAGCUUAACUUGGAAACUGCCAUUGAUACUAUAGGUCUUGAAUUAUCUGGAGGUAAGCGGAAUAUGUCAUGUAGCGGUGAAAUGCUUAGAGAUGACAUAGAACACCCAUUGCGAAGGCAGCUUACUACGGAUUGAUUGACACUGAGGCACGAAAGCGUGGGGAUCAAACAGG
This 253-nucleotide ribosomal RNA is filed under the name uncultured bacterium. Its description in RNAcentral is "partial 16S ribosomal RNA". It matches the Rfam family "Bacterial small subunit ribosomal RNA", at positions 524 to 776 of the family's 1533-position model. The record is from RNAcentral.